UGCGUUAUCAGCUUUCGAUUGUAGUUUCUGCGACUACCAUGGUUGUCACGGGUAACGGGGAAUCAGGGUUCGAUUCCGGAGAGGGAGCGUGAGAAACGGCUACCACAUCCAAGGAAGGCAGCAGGCGCGCAAAUUACCCACUCCCGGCACGGGGAGGUAGUGACGAAAAAUAACGAUACGGGACUCUUACGAGGCCUCGUAAUCGGAAUGAGUACACUUUAAAUAUUUUAACGAGGAACAAUUGGAGGGCAAGUCUGGUGCCAGCAGCCGCGGUAAUUCCAGCUCCAAUAGCGUAUACUAAAAUUGUUGCGGUUAAAAAGCUCGUAGUUGCAUUUGUGCGCCGCGCUGUCGGUGCACCGCAUCCGCGGUGAUACUGACACGUCUGCGGAGCAUAUCGUCGGUGAGCCGGCGGUCACACGCCGGUUCAAUAUCAAAAUCCUAUCGCGGUGCUCUUUGUCGAGUGUCGAGGUGGGCCGACAAUUUUACUUUGAACAAAUUAGAGUGCUCAAAGCGGGCUCAAUGCUGCUUGAAUAUUUCGUGCAUGGAAUAAUAGAAUAUGAUCUCGGUUCUAUUUUGUUGGUUUUCAGAACUCCGAGGUAAUGAUUAAUAGGGAUAACUGGGGGCAUUCGUAUUGCGACGUUAGAGGUGAAAUUCUUGGAUCGUCGCAAGACGAACAUCAGCGAAAGCAUUUGCCAAAGGUGUUUUCAUCAAUCAAGAACGAAAGUUAGAGGUUCGAAGGCGAUUAGAUACCGCCCUAGUUCUAACCGUAAAUAUGUCAUCUAGCGAUCCGCCGACGUUACUACAAUGGCUCGGCGGGCAGCUUCCGGGAAACCAAAGAUUUUGGACUCCGGGGGAAGUAUGGUUGCAAAGCUGAA
Molecule: ribosomal RNA, 875 nt
Filed under: Perina nuda
Lineage: Eukaryota; Metazoa; Arthropoda; Insecta; Lepidoptera; Erebidae
Description: SSU rRNA
Rfam family: Eukaryotic small subunit ribosomal RNA
Source: RNAcentral